RNAcentral lists this ribosomal RNA (253 nucleotides) under uncultured bacterium. RNAcentral describes it as "partial 16S ribosomal RNA". It matches the Rfam family "Bacterial small subunit ribosomal RNA", at positions 524 to 776 of the family's 1533-position model. The record is from RNAcentral.
UACGUAGGGGGCAAGCGUUGUCCGGAAUCAUUGGGCGUAAAGCGCGUGUAGGCGGCUUGGUAAGUCUGCUCUGAAAGCCCGGGGCUCAACCCCGGGAGGCGGGUGGAUACUGCUGAGCUCGAGUCCGGAAGAGGCGAGUGGAAUUCCUGGUGUAGCGGUGAAAUGCGUAGAGAUCGGGAAGAACAUCGGUGGCGAAAGCGCUCUGCUGGACUGCAACUGACACUCAGGGACGAAAGCUAGGGGAGCGAAUGGG